UAUCGUUUCCCACUUUCUUCCAGCUUCUCCUUUGUAAGAAAAACUUUAUUGUUUAGCAUAAUAUUCUCAGAUUCAGAAUGCUUUAAAGCUCCAGAUACUGCUAAUAAUUGAAGCUCAAGUUCUUUCACCUUUUCUUGGGAUUCUAGAAUUUCUCUGCUUGGAUAUGAAUUGCUUGAGCUUUGUUCAUUAGCACAAGGCUUUCCAUCUACAACAGAUUCUUUCUCUACUUGUAUAAAUUCUCCUUCAAAGGUAGUUUCAUC
Molecule: long non-coding RNA, 260 nt
Filed under: Panax ginseng (ginseng)
Lineage: Eukaryota; Viridiplantae; Streptophyta; Magnoliopsida; Apiales; Araliaceae
Description: long non-coding RNA (PGIN_LNC006392)
Source: RNAcentral